ACGACCUCAAUAGACCACUCGAC
Molecule: non-coding RNA, 23 nt
Filed under: Arabidopsis thaliana (thale cress)
Lineage: Eukaryota; Viridiplantae; Streptophyta; Magnoliopsida; Brassicales; Brassicaceae
Source: RNAcentral